UCUCCCUGGGGUCAAGCUGCGCGACGAGU
This 29-nucleotide small RNA is filed under the name Bombyx mori (domestic silkworm). RNAcentral describes it as "ovarian small RNA-29635". Lineage: Eukaryota; Metazoa; Arthropoda; Insecta; Lepidoptera; Bombycidae. The record is from RNAcentral.